RNAcentral lists this long non-coding RNA (1405 nucleotides) under Erythranthe guttata (spotted monkey flower). Its description in RNAcentral is "long non-coding RNA (EGUT_LNC001821)". The record is from RNAcentral. Lineage: Eukaryota; Viridiplantae; Streptophyta; Magnoliopsida; Lamiales; Phrymaceae.
AAAAAAAUGAAAAAAACACAAUCACAUGCAUAUAAUCUUCAAAACAUGAACACGCAUUACUAUACAUUAAAAAACACAUAACAUACAUAUAAAUAUAUGUUACUACACGUGACUAUAUUUAUAUACAAUUAUCUAUAGUUAUAUAAGUGGCAUAAGUGUGGAGUACUGUAGCAUGAAUCCAACUUCACAAAGGCACUUCAUCGAAUUUUAUUCUUUGCAUGUCAUAAAACUAUAAUAAAAGCAAAACCUGCGACAAAAAAAUACGAGUUAAAUAGCAAAAUAGAACAUGCGAGUUAGAUUACAUGAAAAAUAAAAAUAAAAAACAUGAUUUUGUUGUUGAUAAAUUUACUGAACUAAAAUCGACUACAAAUCACUAUAGUAUACUACAAGUCCUAUAUAUAGUCAUGCAUAGUUACAUGUAGUCAUGACUAUACAUGACUACAUGUGACUAACUAUAUAUGACUCUAUAUGACUAAAUAUAACUGUAUAUUCACCUGACUCAAGUCACCCAUGUAAGUAACCACUACUGGUUAAAUUUUCAUUACAGACAAACAAAGCUAUCACAUUUUAGGCAUUUCGAAUCAUCUUCAAAUAAAUACAAAAAAUAAAUUACAUAUGAUUUAUAAUAAAAAAUUAAAUUAAUCCAAAGAAAAAUAUUUUAAUAUUAAUUGUUCACAGAUCUUAAAAAACAUAGUAGAUCUGGUUUUUUUUUUUUAAAUAAAUGCAGUAUUUAUAUACAAAUCGAACACCACCAAUUCCAGAUCUGAAAUUCACCAUUAGAUCUGACACAAUUUAAAAUUUUCGAAUUCAGUUAAUUUAAUAAAAAAACAAUAAAAUAAGGUGAAAUAGUGAUAAGAAUUCAGAUCUUCAAAAAAUAAAUUGAAAAUGGAUUGGCAUUCAUAAAUUAAAACAAAAUAACUUAAUAAAGUGAAGUGAAUGGUUUGGUACCGAGUUCAAGGCGGUGGGAGGAGCAACGACGGACGGCACAAGGCCGUGGCGAAGCAGCGGCGCAAGGCUUUGGCGGAGCAGCGGCGCAAGGCUUUGGCGGAGCAGCGGCACAAGAGGGUGCGCGGAGCAGCGGAACAGCCGGUGUGGAGCAGCGGAGCACGGCGGAGCAACGGAGCACCACGGAUCGAUGACGUCAUCCGGUAGAUCGCUGAUUAUGUCUUCUUCUUCGUUGUUUGUUGUUGUUGUUGUUAUCGGAGCGUUGGUUGAAAGCUUUUUCUUCUUGGCGGAUCUAGUUUCUUUUUUGUAUGUGUUUGUGUGUGUGUUCUUCUGUUUUUUCCUCUUGGCAGAUCUGGUUUCUUUUUGGUGUGUGUUUGUGUGUGUUUUUCUUCUUCUGUAUGUUCUUGGGGGUGAUGAGAGAGAGAUCUAGAGAGAGAAAAAGAGUGAUGUGAGAUUUGGC